RNAcentral lists this ribosomal RNA (468 nucleotides) under uncultured bacterium. Its description in RNAcentral is "partial 16S ribosomal RNA". It matches the Rfam family "Bacterial small subunit ribosomal RNA", at positions 28 to 507 of the family's 1533-position model. The record is from RNAcentral.
GACGAACGCUGGCGGCGUGCUUAACACAUGCAAGUCGAGCGGAAAGGCCCUGCUUUUGUGGGGUGCUCGAGUGGCGAACGGGUGAGUAACACGUGAGUAACCUGCCCUUGACUUUGGGAUAACUUCAGGAAACUGGGGCUAAUACCGGAUAGGAGCUCCUGCUGCAUGGUGGGGGUUGGAAAGUUUCGGCGGUUGGGGAUGGACUCGCGGCUUAUCAGCUUGUUGGUGGGGUAGUGGCUUACCAAGGCUUUGACGGGUAGCCGGCCUGAGAGGGUGACCGGCCACAUUGGGACUGAGAUACGGCCCAGACUCCUACGGGAGGCGGCAGUGGGGAAUAUUGCACAAUGGGCGGAAGCCUGAUGCAGCAACGCCGCGUGCGGGAUGACGGCCUUCGGGUUGUAAACCGCUUUCGCCUGUGACGAAGCGUGAGUGACGGUAAUGGGUAAAGAAGCACCGGCUAACUACGUG